This 260-nucleotide ribosomal RNA is filed under the name uncultured bacterium. Its description in RNAcentral is "partial 16S ribosomal RNA". It matches the Rfam family "Bacterial small subunit ribosomal RNA", at positions 793 to 1055 of the family's 1533-position model. The record is from RNAcentral.
GUCCACGCCGUAACGAUGUCGACUAGCCGUUGGGCCCUUAUAGGGUUUAGUGGCGCAGCUAACGCAUUAAGUCGACCGCCUGGGGAGUACGGCCGCAAGGUUAAACUCAAAUGAAUUGACGGGGCCGCACAAGCGGUGGAGCAUGUGGUUUAAUUUCGAUGCAACGCGAAGAACCUUACCUACCCUUGACAUCCAGAGAAUCUGUUAGAGAUAGUAGAGUGCCUUCGGGAGCUCUGAGACAGGUGCUGCAUGGCUGUCGU